CUAUAGAUGGCGUUGGUAGCAAAAUUUUCGUGUGAUUUAUUUUAGUUGCAGACAAAAUCAUAAUCGUCAUAUUAUUAUGAGGUAAAUCAACAGGCAUUACGUCACUUAGGCGAGCCGCGUGAUAUUAGUAUUAUUAUUAGACUUCAUUAGAUUAUGCAUAGAAUAGCGCUUAAAUCACGUAACUGCUUACCAGUGUAUUUUAAUAUAAUUGUAUAUAAAAAUUACCUUACGGACAAAAAUACAAAUUUUGUUAAUUGAUCAAUCUUUUGUUGACAGUAUUUAUAAAUCUAUAGUACAUUAAAAAUACCUAACAUCUCUAUAAAAUAUAAACUCUUGUUAUUGUAAAACCGUUAGUAUAAUUCUAUUAAACUAUGUAUUAUUUAGCAACAAUGAAUAGUUUUAGCUGUGUAA
This is a long non-coding RNA of Melitaea cinxia (Glanville fritillary), 411 nucleotides long. RefSeq lists it as uncharacterized. The transcript has 2 exons. Lineage: Eukaryota; Metazoa; Arthropoda; Insecta; Lepidoptera; Nymphalidae. The record is from RefSeq and is a predicted model, not a curated record.